GAUGAACGCUGGCGGCGUGCCUAAUACAUGCAAGUCGAGCGAACGGACGAGAAGCUUGCUUCUCUGAUGUUAGCGGCGGACGGGCGAGUAACACGUGGAUAACCUACCUAUAAGACUGGGAUAAUUUCGGGAAACCGGAGCUAAUACCGGAUAAUAUUUUGAACCGCAUGGUUCAAAAGUGAAAGACGGUCUUGCUGUCACUUAUAGAUGGAUCCGCGCUGCAUUAGCUAGUUGGUAAGGUAACGGCUUACCAAGGCAACGAUGCAUAGCCGACCUGAGAGGGUGAUCGGCCGCACUGGAACUGAGACACGGUCCAGACUCCUACGGGAGGCAGCAGUAGGGAAUCUUCCGCAAUGGGCGAAAGCCUGACGGAGCAACGCCGCGUGAGUGAUGAAGGUCUUCGGAUCGUAAAACUCUGUUAUUAGGGAAGAACAUAUGUGUAAGUAACUGUGCACAUCUUGACGGUACCUAAUCAGAAAGCCACGGCUAACUACGUG
RNAcentral lists this ribosomal RNA (497 nucleotides) under uncultured bacterium. RNAcentral's name for it is "partial 16S ribosomal RNA". It matches the Rfam family "Bacterial small subunit ribosomal RNA", at positions 28 to 507 of the family's 1533-position model. The record is from RNAcentral.